GUGACCUGCAUUCGCAUCCAAGGAGAGCCGCUGGCAUCCUUUUUCGCUUCAGCCACUGAGGGUCAUACUUUUUGAUGAUCCUGCCGGGGUAAUUUUAGGAUCCUGUGCUACUGGAAGAUCGCCGGAGAACAGUUUGUGGCUUGGAAACCAUAAGGCGUGUCUAAUGAAGGGUUACAGAAUGGUUUGCGGUUUGUAAAACUACAAAAUGCGUAUGGAACACGACAAAAAUAUGAUUUACGAUCAAGAAAAUUUCAAGCACGAAGCAGAACUCGAAACACGUUCAAUCACGAACUAAUCCAACCACACUAAACAAAAAUAAAUACCUAGGUAGACGUUCGAUACGAAACACGUUCAGAAUCUCAC
Molecule: long non-coding RNA, 363 nt
Organism: Armigeres subalbatus
Lineage: Eukaryota; Metazoa; Arthropoda; Insecta; Diptera; Culicidae
Exons: 3
Source: RefSeq, a predicted model, not a curated record